UAAUACGAAGGGUGCAAGCGUUACUCGGAAUUACUGGGCGUAAAGCGUGCGUAGGUGGUUUGUUAAGUCUGAUGUGAAAGCCCUGGGCUCAACCUGGGAACGGCAUUGGAUACUGGCUUACUAGAGUGCGGUAGAGGGUAGUGGAAUUCCCCGGUGUAGCAGUGAAAUGCGUAGAUAUCGGGAGGAACAUCUGUGGCGAAGGCGACUACCUGGACCAGCACUGACACUGAGGCACGAAAGCGUGGGGAGCAAACAGGAUUAGAUACCCUGGUAGUCCACGCCCUAAACGAUGCGAACUGGAUGUUGGGUGCAACUUGGCACUCAGUAUCGAAGCUAACGCGUUAAGUUCGCCGCCUGGGGAUACGGUCGCAAGACUGAAACUCAAAGGAAUUGACGGGGGCCCGCACAAGCGGUGGAGUAUGUGGUUUAAUUCGAUGCAACGCGAAGAACCUUACCUGGCCUUGACAUGCACGGAACUUUCCAGAGAUGGAUUGGUGCCUUGGG
Molecule: ribosomal RNA, 504 nt
Filed under: uncultured Lysobacter sp.
Lineage: Bacteria; Pseudomonadati; Pseudomonadota; Gammaproteobacteria; Lysobacterales; Lysobacteraceae
Description: bacterial SSU rRNA
Rfam family: Bacterial small subunit ribosomal RNA
Source: RNAcentral